Long non-coding RNA from Alligator mississippiensis (American alligator), 8683 nucleotides. RefSeq lists it as uncharacterized. NCBI's taxonomy places the organism in Eukaryota, Metazoa, Chordata, Crocodylia, Alligatoridae. The record is from RefSeq and is a predicted model, not a curated record. The transcript has 3 exons.
UUUCAGUAUUAUUGCUUUACAUCUAAUGAAUAAUAGUUGUGAAGAGCAAAGUAAGACAACACAUUCUAGUUACCAACCACACAUAAUCUCUUCUUUUUUCCAGUUUGUUGAAAACUAUGGCAACAUUUUCAGCCUCCAGUUAGGUUACAGGACAUUUGUGUUUGUCAGUGGGUUCCAGCUGGUGAAGGAAGCACUUGUUCAUCAGGGUCAAAACUUGGUAGAUCGUCCCCAGGUCCCCAUUACACAUGAAGUCUUUGGUGGCUUGGGAUUGAUCUUCUCUAAUGGAUAUAGUUGGGCACAACAGAGAAGAUUUGCCCUUUCAGUUUUAAGAAACUUUGGCCUGGGGAAGAGAAGUUUAGAGGAUCGAAUCCAGCAGGAGAUCAGGUAUCUCACUGAGGCAGUUGAGGAAGAGAAAGGUAAGGAAAUGAUUUUUGAACGUUUCUGUGGAGCUCUCUAGGCUUCCUCCUCUUUCCAGUGCAAAUGAAAUAACAUGCCAGUACCCUGGAGCCUGCAUUAUGCCUGCAUCUGGCUCCUUCCCAAAGCUCAGAAAUAUCAGAGAUACAGGUCAAGACCUGGACUUGGCUCCAAAAAAAUGUGUCAGGGUUUAGGUUUUCUAUCUAUCAAGUAUGAAACCAUACUCUGACUUGGUCAGCUUGCCCCCAAACUUCAUGUAGGAACAUGGAUUUAUACAACUGUCCUGCAAAUGUGACCAUUAAUUACCCAGGUAUGGUUAAAGAAGUAUGGAUAAAACUUAUCUAACCUAUUAUAUUGUGAAAGCAGAAAGCUGCAUUAAAAAUGCAAAUGGCUUUAGAAAAUCAAAUAAAACUGACUUGAAGCAGCUCUGCUUGGAUGUGCUGCUUAAACAGUCCGUGUUUAACAGACCUUUAGUUUUUGGGGAGGUGAGUGCAGCAAAUACUAUUCACAAGGGUGGCAUGGGAGGAUUUGCCAUCAAUAAAUUGAGAAACCAUCAGUGGAUUUCACACCCUUCUUACCUUGCUUUUUCACAAAGGCUGGAAGACAGCUGAUUUCUCCAUUUUGGUCUUUCCAGGGAAUCCUUUUGACCCCACCUUUAAAAUUAACAAUGCUGUUUCCAACGUUAUCUGUUCCAUCACUUUUGGCAACCGGUUUGAAUAUCACGAUAGUCACUUCCAGACAUUACUGCGGUUGUUUGAUGAGAUAGUUUACCUCCAUGGAACAUUUUGAACCCAGGUAAAACUCAUUUGAUUUCUGACGUGAGGCCCUGGAGGGACUCCUAUCUCGAUCUCCCUGAAGUCAAUAAUACAACUUCUUUUGUAGAAGCCGACUUGAGUAGGUCUGUGUUUUUCUUGGUCCCAAAUGUGCUUCUAUUUUGGCCUGAUUGUGAUGGUCAUAUGAUCCUUUUCUCUCGGGACUCCUCUAUCUUUCUCUAUCCUUAUCUGUCUAGCUACCCACUUUCUCCCAUUCUCCCUGAGGAAAUCCUGUCUGAUUGCCCAUUCUGACUUCUCCUCUCUUAGCCUUUGAGAUAAGUCACCUUCACCUGCAGAAGGUGACUCACUCCUUCUUCUUCACUCAUGGUUGAUUGGCUAGCCUGUGUUUGAUUGCUUUUGUCCCUCACCGCACAGAAGUGGGAAGCCUCUCAGCCUUUACUGGGGUUAGGAGGAAAGUAGCAACAGUCUGCUCAACAUAGCCUAUGGCUCUGGUGGUGACUAUUGUUCCUGAAUUUUGCCUCCUAUCCGAUAAUGGCCUUGACACCCUGACUUUGACUAGUGACCAUGAUUACAGGCUUGGGUCUCACCUGCUACUCAACUGGGACAUCCUCUUGGUCCUAUAAAAAUCCUAUACACCCUCUUUAUCUUAUACAAAUCCACUGCCCUGCUGCUGCCCUCCCCACAGCCCAACUAGGGUGUCCUCCGAUAGGACUGAAGAGAUGAUGGAUGAUUUCAACAGCCAUCAGGGAUGUGUAAAUUGGAGAGAGGAAGAAGGAAGGAUGCUGUCUCUCCCUGCUAAGUAACUCCAUUCCCUCUUGUCACUUGGCACAUUAAACUCUGUAUUCUUGGGAGGGUGGACUCAUUUGCACAUGAGUCUUGAAAAUGAAGGAAUAAAUGAAUGAAUGACAAAGCAGCGUUAUACAGUGACGGUGAUAUCCCAGGAUCUGUUUCUCUGGAAAAAGAACCAGUCCUUGCUAAGUUUUCCCCCCCAAAAAGGGAGUGUUAUGACUUUCUAACCUUUUAAUGUCACCGCAAAGUAAUAGGAGUGACCUCUCAGGACAGGACUGGUCUCUGCUAAUGGGUAUAGCUGGAAACAACAGAGACGAUUUGCCCUAUCAACUCUGAGAAACUUUGGCCUGGGGAAGAGAAGCUUAGAGAAGCGAAUACAACAGGAGAUCGCGUAUCUCAAUGAGGCAGUUGAGGAAGAGAAAGGGAAUCCUUUUGAUCCCCACUUUAAAAUUAACAACGCCGUUUCCAACGUUAUACGUUCCAUCACUUUUGGCAGCCGGUUUGAGUAUCACAACAGGCACGUCCAGAAGCUGCUGCAGUUGGUGGGUGAGACGCUGUACCUCCAUGGAACUGUUUGGACCCAGGUAUAACUUGGAAAUCAACUGAAAUCAACCCUAACACUUCUUGGGAUGGUUACAGUGGAGGCAGACUUGAGUAGGUCAGCACCGUUCUUGUUCCUUGAUUCAUUUCUGCUUUGGCCAGAUCGAGGUGUUCAGAUGCUCUUUCUCCUCGGUACUUCUCUGCGUUCUCAAGAUCCCCCCUUUAUCCUCCUUCUCCCCCACGGGAUCCUAUCUGACCUCCAGUUUUAUAUUUGGGAUGCGUCACCCUCAACUGCAGACACCUCAACCUCUCUUCCUUCACCUGUGGCUGAAUGGCCAGCCUGUGCUUGACUCCGACGGAUCCACCCCACGCAGCAAGUAGGACAGCUCCCAGUCGUCCCAGCAGCGAUGCUGCCUAUAGUGUCCUGUUGCUGGGAGAGGAAAGAAAGGCUAGUGGUUAGUGUGGGGUUGUGCAGAUGCCCCAUGUGAACUGUGACACUUCCUUCAGCUGCCCGGGCUCUUGUUAGAAGAGUACCUGUAGGCAGCCUGCGGUUGCAUUAUAUUGUCUGCCUCUCCCAAUCAGGUACCAAAAGUACAGCAGCCUCAGCUGGGACAAGACAGUAUUGUGCCAUACUGUCAGUGUGGGAUCAUGAAUAGUUUCAUAGUAGUUUCAUAGGAGCUAGGGUCAGGAGGGACCUGAACAGAUCAUCGAUCCUGACCCCCUGCCACAAGCAGGAAUGAAUGCUGGGUUCACAAGACCCCAGACAGGUGAUCGUCCAACCUCCUGUUGAAUUUGCCCAAGGUAGGGGCGAGGACCACUUCCCUGGGAAGCUGGUUCCAGAUUUCGGCCACCUUAACUGUAAAAUAUUGCUUUCUGAUCUCUAACCUAAACCUAUUCUUCAUCAGCUUAUGACCAUUGUUCCUCAUCACCCCAGGUGGUGCUGGGGAGAAAAGGGCUUUGCCUAUUUACUGUUGAUCUCCCCUGAUGAGCUUGUAGGCAGCCACCAGGUCCCCCCUCCCUCUGAAGAAGAAAAUCUUUCAUGCAAAGAAACCUCCAGUGGGCAUAUGUGAGGCUAGAAUAUAGAGAAGAGGACAUUCAGGAGUUGCUAUAAUUUAAAUGAAGACAGAAGGUGCUAUAAGUCAGGGAGGCAGGGGUGGGGAUCGAGUAUUAUAGCCAUGAUAAUCCAGGGAACGUACAAGACUCAAAGGGGUUUUGGACGGUCUUCUAUUGGGCAAGCUGAAUAACUGAGAGAUUGGUUAGACAAGCUUUUGGGCACAUAAAAGUACCUUUCUGCAGGUCUUCAGGGUAGUUUGUACUGAAAAGCUUGUGUAACAUCUCUCCCAACUAUACAUUUGGUCCAAUAAAAGAUAGCACAAAAAAACUCUCACCUCUCAUUGUAAUAUUUGGCUUUGCUUCUGAUAAUGUUGAUUAUCUUCUUUGAAUUAACUCUGUGGAAAAACCGGGCCCAUAAAUCACAUCUUUCAAUAGUUCAGACACUAGAAAAAGACAAAGACCAAUACUGUUACUAGCAUAAUACUGCUGUUGGUAGUGACAGUGGUCAGACUCUAAAUGUAAGCGUUCGGUUCAUUUACACAAAGAUGUUGCACAGGGAAGGGCAGUUCAGGAUUCAUUCCUACAGCCGUACCACUCUGCUUUGAUUGUGUCUAGAAGCAGCUACCUGUAGUUAAAAACUCCUUUAAGACUAUCAACUCAUUUGAUGAGGAGCACUCCGAACAUCAUGGUAGCAUUGUUUAUAAAUGAAGGCAUUCACCAAGGUUUUAAAGGACAUUGCCAUAUUCUUGGAGUAGACCAUAACUCUCCAUUUUCAAUCAUUUCAUCCUGUUAGGACUGCUAUUGUUCAUCAGCUGCCCUUUCUCUCCCUUUCAGGAAAGAUGGCUGGAACAGAGAUCUUCAUUUUCUUCACUGUUCCAACUCAGAAAUUCACAUCCCAAGCUCUGGACAAUGUCAAAUUAUCUCCUGAAUUCACAACCACCCAUUCUGGCUUUCUGAUAUUUCUCACUUUCAAGGAUCAGGAAGAUUUUAUUGCUUUCUUCCCUUUUGCAUUUAACUCUUGCUUUGCAAUCAGAAAAGCUCCCAUUCCCUUUCCCAACACAAUCUUAAUUUUUAAAACUUUUUUCCUAGUAUUUUAUGCUGGGAGUUUCCUAGCAACCAAUGUGUGGAUUAUAAGAAACCUUUGCUCUUGUGGUCAGCCUUGGAAGCAGUACUGGGAAUAUCUCCCAUCUCAGAGUGCCCAUUAGUGGGAGGAGCCUGCUCCCCACUUCCCCCUGGCCCCUGAUAAGAAGUAGCUUUUAUUUGGUGCUGCUGACCUCAAAUGUACAAGAUAGCAGGAAUUGCAAGCUUUGUAUUAGGGCUGAGCAAAGUAUAGUCUAUGGGUGAAUCUCCCAAUCGGCACUGAUUCUCCGAAUCCAAAUCAGCCGAAUCGAAUCGGGACAGUGAUUCGAAUCCCCAAAUAGAAUCACUGUCCCUCCAAAUCAGCUGAAUCCAAAUCUGAAGUGAAUACUUGCUGCUUCGCAUGUGCUUACUUUGUAUGCUAUACAACUGGCUUGUCCAACGUAAGGCCCGCGGGCCGCCAUGCGACCCACCAAGCCGUUUUCUGAGGCCCAAGGUGCUGCAAUGGUAAAUGAAAGUAAACACUGUUUGCUUUCAUUCCCACCCCUUUUCCUGCCCCCAGCCCCUCAGCAGGUGACCGGCGAGCAUGGACUACGAGACAGUUGGCUGCCCCGUGACUGCUGACCCUCUCCCUGGGGGAAGCAGGGCCCCUCUCUUGGCUCCCCCGACCGCAGCCAUCAAGGCUGGGGUGGGUGAGCUUGCCCCAGGUGGGUCCCAGGGCCUGGGCUGAGGCCCCUCUCCCAUGCCCAUCAUGCAGCUCCUUUAAGCCCUACGCUGGGGGUGGUCCGCACUGCAUCAGCAGGAAAAGGGUGGUGUGGGGUAGGACGGUGAGGUCCAGUGUAGGGAUGAGCAGGCGAGCGUGAAACAUGGCUGCCUGGCUGUCAUUGGGACCGUGUCCCCAGGUUGGAUGCUGAAGAACCUGCACGGGGGUGCCACACGCGUGCGUGCACUCGUGAGGAGGAAGCACAAGGUCACACUCGCACCUUCCUCCUCCUCCUCCAUGGGAGCUGGGGAUGAGGAGGGAGGUGGGCUGUGUGCGCGUGGCCGUGUGUGAAGACCAGGCUUCUCAUCCCCGAUGGAGCCAGGCAGUGUCCUGAGGCGCUGCUUCUCCUCCUCCUCCUCCUCACUGCUGCUGCUGGAGGCCAACAGCCGGCUGCUCCUCCACGGCUUCCUCUACCUGGUGCUGUACGCCCAGGUGUCCCAGGGCAAGCCUGCAUUACGCUUCGUUCAUUCAUUGAGAAGUGAGUAGCAGCGGAAGUGCUUAUUUUAGUUAAGAAUUUGGUAUUAUUACAUUGUUGCUUUUAUAUUGUUUUUAUUUGGGAUUUUAAACCACAUUUCCAGACCCAUUUCAUUGUCAUUUCCUGCAACAUCAUUGGUGUCAAAGGUCAUGUGACAUCACUUUCUGAUGUGAUACCGCUUCCUGUGAGGUCUUUGAAUAUGGCUCGCUGGCCCAGUGGGUGAUAAAAAGUUCAUGAUCCAGCCCCAUGUUCAAAAAGGUUGGACAUCACUACUAUAGAAGAUGAAAGGGCACACAGGCCCAGUAGGGCUUCUAGGAUUUGUAGAUGCAUUGGGAGAGUAUCUGCAGUAGGGAAUGUAAUUCUUAAUGCAUCAUGGAAAAAGGAGGACAAGCAGUCUGAAAUGCAACCCUCCUGUAUUUCAGGUGGGGUCAGGGAUACCGCCUACCUUUGAUAAGACUCUAGUAAAGACUGCUUUGCCACAGACACUUUCUUCAACUUUGUAUAAAUUCUUUCAACUUGUAAAAAAUGCUUAGAUCAAAUUUCAAUUUGGGGUACCUCAAUACUGGAGGCCUGAGUUGAGACAUCUCACGUUGGUAAUGCAUUUCAUCAUGUGAUACUAUGCCGUGGAGGCAGAGUUGGGAGCAAAACGUAUGCUCAAAAUUUAGAACACCCUAAAUCAUAGAUCACUCUUAAAUAUUUAGGCCUUGUCCUCUCCAUCCUUCUUUUGUCUACUCAUAAAAAUGGGUACAAUAUUAGUUAUUACUUGAUUCAUAGAACUCAUGUGAGUAAAUCCAAUCAGAUUACUUUUCCCCAUGGAGAGGCAGGCUCCAUGGAUUGGGGGAGACAGAGGAUGUGAUAUACUUUGAAUUUAGCAAAGCUUCUGACAUGGUCUCCCACAAAAUUCUCAGUAAUAAGCUAGUGAAAUACAGACUAAAUGAAAGUACUGUAAGGUGGAUACAUAACAGGUUGGAUCAUUGUGCUCAGUGAGUAGUCAUCAGUGGCUCAGGAAGUAUCAAGUGGGGUUCCCUAGGGGUCUGUCCUGGGUCCAGUAUUGGAUAACAUCUUCAUUAAUGAUUUUGAUGAUAAAAUUGAGUGCACAGUUGGUGCAUUUGCAGAUCACACCAAGUUGGGUGGAUCUGAAGACCCUGUGGACGGUAGCACUAGGAUCCAGAAUAACCUGGAUAAACAGGUGAAACGAUCUGAAAGCAACUAGCUGAAAUUCAACAAAGAUAAGUGCAAAGUCCUGAACUUGGGAUGGAAUAAUUGGAUGCACAAAUACAGACUGGGAAAUGGCUGUGUAAGCUGCAGUACUGCAGAGAAGGACCUGGGGGUUACAGUGGACUGGAAGCUGACUAUGAAUCAACAGUAUGCUCUUGUUGCAAAAAAAGCCAACGGCACACUGGGUUAUAUUAACAGGAGUGUCACUUGCAAAUGAAGGAAAGUGAUUCUUCCUCUCUUUUUGGCCAUGAGGAGGCCUCAUCUGGAGUACUGCAUCCAGUUUUCUGCCCCCUACGCUUCAAAAAGUAUGUAGACAGAUUGGAAAGAGUCCAGCGAAGAGCAACACAAAUGGUUAGCGGCCUGGAAAAUCAUAUGUAUGAGGAAAGGCUGAAAGUAGUAGAAUAUUUAGGAAAGAGAAGAGAAGACUGAGGGAUGAAUUAAUUGUCUUCAAAUCCCUGAAGGGUGAUUAUAAGAAGGAAGGAACUUUUUCCCUGUGACUGCAGGGGACAGGACUAGGAGCAAUGGUCUCAAGCUGCAGCAGAAUAAAUUUAGGUUGGAGAUUAGAAGGAGCUUCCUGAUUGUGAGGGUGGUCAAGGAUUGGAAGAAACUACUUAAAGAAUUUGUGGCAUUUCCAUUUCUGGGCAUUUUCAAAACCAGGUUAAGAAUAUACUUGGCUGGGAUGUUUUAGUUGGGAAUGACCUUACCUGGAGCAGGGAACUGAACUGGAUGGCCUCUUGAGGUCCCAUUGAGCCCUGCUUUCCUACGAUCCCAUGAUCCUAUUUCAGUUUGGAAAUGCUUCUGUGGUAUCUCAUAGGGUUUUAGCUUGGGUGUUUUCAUACUCCUUUUUAAUCCAGGACCCCUGGUGGGACCACCACAGUGUACUGCUGUCUUCCCUCUAGAAGCGGAGAAAAGGUUUUACAUUGUGGGAGAUUUACUGUAUCCAGGGAGGAGCCCACCGAAAAGAACGGGGAGAGGCUCUGACUGAAAUGGUAGCUCCUACAAAGCCCCGCAGCUGCCUACCAAUUGCUAAAUACUUACAUUCUUGUAUUUUAGGGUUUUUUUGACCCAAAAAAACCUCAGUUGCAGCCCAUCCUGCAGACUAGGAAAAGCACACUCCAAAGGAAUUAUAGUUUUACCUGCUAUGGAGUUUGGAACAAAAUCAAUAUCUUCAGAACAAAGUCCUGGAUUUUGUAGGAAAAGGACACUGCAAGGCCAUAAAGCAGUGUCAAGUCAUAGUUUAUUCCCUUCACAGUUCCCAGGAAAACAUGACAUGUCAUACUGGGUCAUUCCCCAGGUCCUUCUAGCCCAGGAGCCUUUAUUUAUAGUGGCUAAGGGAAAGAGUAUUUCUAUAGGGCCUAUCAAGACCACAUCUCUUCCUUUACAGCUUCCAGCAUUCAGAGGCCUAGAAAAUCAGCAGAAUACCCAGGGACCUCUUCUUCCAUUGAUGCCCUGAGAUCAUCUGCAAAAGAGAGAGGUAAUCGUGCAGGUCCCAAAUAGUAACCUCAUGUUCCUUCCUCCCUGCUCCCCUUUGACUUCAGUGGAACUGCCCUUGGCCCCAUUCCUCUCCUGCAAUGUACUGAU